RNAcentral lists this small RNA (25 nucleotides) under Pantoea ananatis. Lineage: Bacteria; Pseudomonadati; Pseudomonadota; Gammaproteobacteria; Enterobacterales; Erwiniaceae. The record is from RNAcentral.
AAAAAAGCCCGCUUAACGCGGGCUA